ACCCGCUGAACUUAAGCAUAUCAAUAAGCGGAGGAAAAGAAACCAACAGGGAUUGCCUCAGUAACGGCGAGUGAAGCGGCAACAGCUCAAAUUUGAAAUCUGGAGCCUUUGGCUUCCGAGAUUGUAAUUUGAAAAGGAUGUUUCGGUGCGACCUGGGCCUAAGCUUCCUUGGAACAGGACGUCAUGGAGGGUGAGAAUCCCGUACAUGGCUGCAGGUUUGCUUCUAUGUGAAACUCCUUCGAAGAGUCGAGUUGUUUGGGAAUGCAGCUCAAAAUGGGUGGUAAAUUUCAUCUAAAGCUAAAUAUUGGGGGGAGACCGAUAGCGCACAAGUAGAGUGAUCGAAAGAUGAAAAGCACUUUGAAAAGAGAGUUAAACAGUACGUGAAAUUGUUGAAAGGGAAGCGCUUGCAAUCAGACUCGCCUUCAGUUGAUCAGCCUUCCUUCUGGUUGGUGCACUCUGCUGUUGGCGGGCCAGCAUCACUUGGGGCGGCGGGACAAAGGUGGCAGGAAUGUGGCUCGCUUCUGUGAGUGUUAUAACCUGCUGCGCCAUGCCGCCAGCCCCGACUGAGGUCCGCGGUUCUGCCUAAGAUGCUGGCUUAAUGGUUGUUAACCCGUCUUGAAACACGG
Molecule: ribosomal RNA, 626 nt
Filed under: Orbilia auricolor
Lineage: Eukaryota; Fungi; Ascomycota; Orbiliomycetes; Orbiliales; Orbiliaceae
Description: eukaryotic LSU rRNA
Rfam family: Eukaryotic large subunit ribosomal RNA
Source: RNAcentral